This 121-nucleotide ribosomal RNA is filed under the name Trichoderma virens. RNAcentral describes it as "partial large subunit ribosomal RNA". Lineage: Eukaryota; Fungi; Ascomycota; Sordariomycetes; Hypocreales; Hypocreaceae. The record is from RNAcentral.
CGGCAACAGCUCAAAUUUGAAAUCUGGCCCCUCGGGGUCCGAGUUGUAAUUUGUAGAGGAUGCUUUUGGUGAGGUGCCGCCCGAGUUCCCUGGAACGGGACGCCACAGAGGGUGAGAGCCC